Molecule: ribosomal RNA, 446 nt
Filed under: uncultured bacterium
Lineage: Bacteria
Description: partial 16S ribosomal RNA
Rfam family: Bacterial small subunit ribosomal RNA
Source: RNAcentral
CCUACGGGUGGCUGCAGUCGAGAAUCAUUCACAAUGGGGGAAACCCUGAUGGUGCGACGCCGCGUGGGGGAAUGAAGGUCUUCGGAUUGUAAACCCCUGUCAUGUGGGAGCAAAUUAAAAAGAUAGUACCACAAGAGGAAGAGACGGCUAACUCUGUGCCAGCAGCCGCGGUAAUACAGAGGUCUCAAGCGUUGUUCGGAAUCAUUGGACGUAAAGAGUUCGUAGGUGGCAUAUUAAGUCUGGUGUUAAAUGCAGAAGCUCAACUUCUGUUCGGCACUGGAUACUGGUAAGCUUGAAUGCGGUAGAGGUAAAGGGAAUUCCUGGUGUAGCGGUGAAAUGCGUAGAUAUCAGGAGGAACAUCGGUGGCGUAAGCGCUUUACUGGGCCGUAAUUGACACUGAGGAACGAAAGCCGGGGUAGCAAAUGGGAUUAGAUACCCGAGUAGUC